This 45-nucleotide non-coding RNA is filed under the name Schistosoma margrebowiei. The record is from RNAcentral. Lineage: Eukaryota; Metazoa; Platyhelminthes; Trematoda; Strigeidida; Schistosomatidae.
AUACAGCUGGCAAGUCCCAAAUAGGACGAAAUGCGCGUCCUGAAU